CGAGCGGAGAGGAGAUGCACACGGCACUCGAGUGUGAGGAAAAAUAGAAAUGAAGGUACAUAUGCACACAAAAUUUUGCCUCAUUUGUUUGCUGACAUUUAUUUUUCAUCAUUGCAACCAUUGCCAUGAAGAACAUGACCAUGGCCCUGAAGCGCUUCACAGACAGCAUCGUGGAAUGACAGAAUUGGAGCCAAGCAAAUUUUCAAAGCAAGCUGCUGAAAAUGAAAAAAAAUACUAUAUUGAAAAACUUUUUGAGCGUUAUGGUGAAAAUGGAAGAUUAUCCUUUUUUGGUUUGGAGAAACUUUUAACAAACUUGGGCCUUGGAGAGAGAAAAGUAGUUGAGAUUAAUCAUGAGGAUCUUGGCCACGAUCAUGUUUCUCAUUUAGAUAUUUUGGCAGUUCAAGAGGGAAAGCAUUUUCACUCACAUAACCACCAGCAUUCCCAUAAUCAUUUAAAUUCAGAAAAUCAAACUGUGACCAGUGUAUCCACAAAAAGAAACCAUAAAUGUGAUCCAGAGAAAGAGACAGUUGAAGUGUCUGUAAAAUCUGAUGAUAAACAUAUGCAUGACCAUAAUCACCGCCUACGUCAUCACCAUCGUUUGCAUCAUCAUCUUGAUCAUAACAACACUCACCAUUUUCAUAAUGAUUCCAUUACUCCCAGUGAGCGUGGGGAGCCUAGCAAUGAACCUUCAACAGAGACCAAUAAAACCCAGGAACAAUCUGAUGUUAAACUACCG
RNAcentral lists this long non-coding RNA (736 nucleotides) under Homo sapiens (human). RNAcentral's name for it is "long non-coding RNA NONHSAT183370.1". Lineage: Eukaryota; Metazoa; Chordata; Mammalia; Primates; Hominidae. The record is from RNAcentral.